Molecule: unclassified non-coding RNA, 250 nt
Filed under: plant metagenome
Description: partial contains small subunit ribosomal RNA, internal transcribed spacer 1, and 5.8S ribosomal RNA
Rfam family: 5.8S ribosomal RNA (bases 188-250)
Source: RNAcentral
GUAGGUGAACCUGCGGAAGGAUCAUUAGUGAAUUGAGGGUGCACUGGUUUAACUACCAGUGGCCUGACCUCCACUUUCCAACACUGUGCACUUUUUGGUGAAUAUUGAAGCCAGCCUAGCUGGGAGAUAUGUUCACCUAUUUUAUUUAAACAUUAGUUAAAGAAUGUAAAAAAUCAUAACAAAAAAAAACUUUCAACAACGGAUCUCUUGGCUCUCGCAUCGAUGAAGAACGCAGCAUCUGACUGACUCG